UCUCCUCACAGUGCAGGAGGGGCUUUUCUGAAGGGCAGGUAGCUGGCGUCCGGGCCGACAAAGUUAAGAAAAUAAACAACAAAACACCUGGGAGGAGACACGUGGAGGGCUUAGAGAGGCUGAGGGGGAUCAGGAUAGCCUCGUGCAGGUGGAUGACAAGAGGAGAGUAAGGCAAAUGUUGACCGCAGCAGGACACCACAGAUGGCAACCUGCAGAUAAAAUCUAGCACCAGCCUAGCAUAUUUGAAUGCAUCAUGUAAAGCAUCUCCACAAGAUGCCUAGGAGCCAAAUAACUGCUGCUGCACAGAGCUGAAGAAGCCACAAUGAUUACCUAAGAGAAGCCCUGAACCAGCCUUCUGAGAGCAUGAAGCUUGCCUUUUUCAUCAUGAGAAAAUCUUAGGGAGCCUGGCAAUAAAUGUGGGUGAUGGAGGCAGCACAAGAGGUAUCAAAUUUUAUAGCUGACUCCAUGAUUGCUUGCUUAGGUUUGUCCAUCUGUGGUUCUCCAGACCCUGACAACACACUUCUCCCUGAUUAACCUCCACUCCAUACCCCUUGUGGACUGAUAUUUCCAAAGAGAUUCUGCUGACAACAUUUUGAUGCGCUUCCCUUCUGCAGAUCCCAAUCUGUCUGUUCAGACCUGUUUUGUCUGCCAUUGGGAGUGAGGAGUGGAAUUUCACAUAGAAGGACAUCUUCUCUGGUUACCAAUUUGCCUUUUAUUUUUACCUAAGUGACUGUCAGUGAGGCCUCAACAUGUGAAGUGGCACCUGCUAUAUUUUGCAGGACAGGUCUGCCUGUCAUUUUACCCUUAUUUAUAUGGUUAGUGCCAGAGGCAUACCAGAGCUGGAAUCCUAGUUGUAGUAAGUUCUAUACAGGAACAGAAAAAGCAAAAAUUUGUCACAAGAGUUUACACUGCAGGUAAGAGAACGGUGGAGCACAUAAGCAGAGUUAUUAGAUUGAGCUUCUGUAAUCACUGUCAUUUUAAGUGGGAAAGAUUCUUGAGAAUGGCAGAUUGAAUAGUAAAAAAAAAAAAAAGAAAGGAGUGAGGAAAUAGAGGAAUAAUAGAAUGUGUAAGAGGAAAAAGAAUAAGGACAUGACAAUAUUGUGGGGUAAGAACGUUUAAAAGCAUUUCCAAAUGUGGGCCUUAUCUGCCCUUUCUUCUUCCCAUUUCCUCGGGACUUUGGCAUGGGAAGAUACACCUCUGUUGUCUCAGGGAUUUGUAAUUAUGAUACAGUAUUGUGCCUUGAGCCAGCAGCGCGCCCACUGCAUUCCCAUGCUGCACUUCAGAGGUGGAGUCACUGUUCAUGGGAGUGUUUUAAAUAUAUCAUUGCUAGUAAGCAGUUUCUGAUUUCUAAAGGUAAAAUAGUUUGCGAAAGAAA
Molecule: long non-coding RNA, 1375 nt
Organism: Tympanuchus pallidicinctus (lesser prairie-chicken)
Lineage: Eukaryota; Metazoa; Chordata; Aves; Galliformes; Phasianidae
Exons: 4
Source: RefSeq, a predicted model, not a curated record